Molecule: non-coding RNA, 31 nt
Filed under: Rattus norvegicus (Norway rat)
Lineage: Eukaryota; Metazoa; Chordata; Mammalia; Rodentia; Muridae
Source: RNAcentral
UCCUUUCUAGCCACAGUUUCUACUUUUCUCC